Caretta caretta (loggerhead turtle) is the source of this 3988-nucleotide RNA transcript. It is a transcript of the gene named TRAF interacting protein, with no coding region annotated. The record is from RefSeq and is a predicted model, not a curated record. Lineage: Eukaryota; Metazoa; Chordata; Testudines; Cheloniidae.
CCCUCCUCAGCCAUGUAGCGCGACGGGGCGGGCCCCGCGCCUUUCCCGGGGGCGUCAUUUCCGGCUCAUGCCGGAAGCCACCUCGGAAUGAACCAGAUUUGAACUGGCCAAGGAGAGGUGCUUCCCUGGUUGUGCUGUGGCAGCCUCUUGGAUGUCAGUCGGAACAAUAGAGGAUGCCUAUCCGUGCCCACUGUACCAUCUGCUCGGAUUUCUUUGACAAUCACAAGGAUGUGGCAGCUAUCCACUGCGGACACACCUUCCAUCAGGAGUGUCUCAUCCAGUGGUUUGACACUGCUCCGAGUCGGACUUGUCCACAGUGUAGAAUCCAGGUCAGCAAAAGACACAUCAUCAAUAAGCUGUUCUUUGAUGUUGCCCUGGAGGAGCAGACAUCACUGGAUGCAGAAAGCCUACAGAAUGAACUGGACAAGGUGAAAGCACAGCUCUCUGGGAAAGAGAAGGAGAAGCGAGACUGCCAGUCUAUAAUAGACACACUGAGGGAGACUGUGGAUGUUCACAACGCCACCAUCGAGUCACUCCAGAAAGCCCUGUGUGAGACGGAGAUGCUGUGUUCCACUCUCAAGAAACAAAUGAAGUACCUGGAGCAGCAGCAGGAAGAUACCAAAGGUGCAAAAGAGGAGGCCCGAAGGCUGAGAAACAAACUGAAAACCAUGGAGAGGAUUGAGAUGCUCCUGCAGAGCCAGCGCCCGGAAGUGGAGGAGAUGAUCCGUGACAUGGGAAUAGGGCAGGCAGCAGUGGAACAGCUUGCAGUCUACUGCAUCUCACUGAAAAAGGAAUAUGAAAAUCUGAAAGAAGCUCGGAAGGCAUCUAGUGAGAUGACUGAGAAGCUGAAAAAGGAGCUGUCUUCUUCCAAUAAUAAGCUGCAAAAAACAUUCUUGGAGUUGGAGAAGAUGAAGGAGGACUUAAAAAGCACCCAGAAGGAUCUGAGUAACUCAGACAAGGAGAUAAUGAGUUUGAAGAAGAAGAUUGGAAUCCUGCAGGAGACCCUGAAGGUGCCAUCUGUAACCAGCGAAACGCUCAGCCGACUAGUCUUCGAAAGCCCUGCUCCUGUGGAACUGCUGAGCCCAAAGCUCCACCGCCCGGCCCAUAGCGAUAAGAUCGACCUGGACGCCGCCUUUGAUGUUGAGACGCCUGAGCAACAGCCUCACAAAUCAAUCACAACCCCUGCAAAAAAACCCAAGCUGGAUAAAAAGCCGCCUCCUGUGACAAACAUAGCAAAAAAAGUUCUGAAGGAAACAAUGGAGAACUGGGUAGGUGAGCCAGAGGAUGAUCCUCUAGAAGAAUUCUUUCCUGCGUUCAUCAGGAACUCGGUUCUUUCCCGGAAGCCACCCAUGGGCAGCCUGCUGGGGCCACACAAGAACACAGGAGCUGUGAGAAUGGGGUACGAUGGCUUAGGAGGUAGAACUAAGUUCAUACAGCCCACAAACCCAAUGGAGAUCCGUCCCUUAGCUGUAAAGAGCAGGAAGAGGAACGUCUCCAGGCCAGCAUCCACAACUGCAGCAGCUUCCUCCUCUGGCACGAGCCAGGUGAAACUGGACAGCUUCCUUCAGUAAACCCAAAGGCUUUCCUGGUCACUUAGGCAUGCUUGGGCAGAAGACUUGGGGCUCAUCUAUGUCUCUGCAGAACCAAGACGUCAUAGCACGGCAAGCAUUGAGUCCACUCAGCUCACCCUCGCUGCUGUUGUGUCCUGGGUGCUGCUGUCAGCCAACAGUACAGUAGGUCUGCUAACUGUCGUCAUCCAUCGCUUCCGCUGCAACUCUGCUCUCCUGCAGCCCAGGGGAUCUGUUCUGGUCCUCCUGGGUGCUCCUAACAGUCGUCGUCCACCGCUUCCGCUUCAGCUCUGCUGUCCUGCAGACGCCAUACCACGGCAAGCAUGGAGCCCGCACAGCUCACCAUCACCGCUACUGUUGUGAGCAUUGUAAACACCUCGCACAUUAUCCUGGAGUACAUGCAGAACCGGGCUAAGAGACACCAGCACGAGGAGGAUUUUGAUGAGAACAUGGAAACAGACAUUCCUGAAAGCAUGGGCUGUGACAAUUGGGAGAUCAUGGCGGCAGUGGGGUUGGUUGAGACAGUGGAAUGCUAAGUCUGGGCCAGGCAAACAAGCACAGACUGGUGGGUCCGCAUAGUGUUGCAGGUAUGGGAUGAUUCACAGUGGCUGCGAAACUUUUGCAUGCGUACGGCCACUUUCCUGGAACUCUGUGAGUUACUUUCCCCCAUGCUGAAGCACAGAAAUACUGAGAUGAGAGCUGCUCUGACAGUUGAGAAGCGAGUGGCGAUAGCCCUGUGGAAACUUGCAAUGCCUGACUGAUACCGGUCAGUCGGGAAUCAAUUUGGAGUGGGCAAGACUACUGUGGGGACUGCUGUGAUCCAAGUAGCCAAUGCAAUCACUUGACGUUCUGCUAUCAAGGGUAGUGACUCUGGGAAAUGUGCAGGUCAUACAGGAUGGCUUUGCUGCAAUGGGGUUCCCUAACUGUCGUGGGGCGAUAGAUGGCAUGCAUAUCCCCAUCUUGGCACCAGACCACCUUGCCAACCAGUACAUAAACGGCAAGGGGUACUUCUCAAUGGUGCUGCAAACACUGGUGGAUCACAAGGGACGUUUCACCGACAUCAAUGUGGGAUUGCUGGGAAAGGUACAUGAUGCUUGCAUAUUUAGGAACUCCGGACUGUUCCUUCUUGCAACUUCUCGGACUUACUUCCCAGACCAGAAAAUUACCAUUGAGGAAGUUGAAAUGCCAAUAUUUAUCCUUGGGGACCCAGCCUACCCCUUGCUCCCAUGGCUCAUGAAGCUGUACACCGGCAGGCUGGACAGUAAGUAGUAAGGAGUAGUUCAACUAUAGGCUGAGCAAGUGCAGAAUGGUGGUAGAAUGUGCCUUUGGAUGUUUAAAAGAUUGCUGACUAGGUCAGACCUCAGUGUAACCAACAUUCCCAUUGUUAUUGCGGCUUGCUGUGUGCUCCAUAAUAUCUGUGAGAGUAAGGGGGAGACGGUUAUGGCGGGGUGGGAGGUUGAGGCAAAUCACCUGGUGGCCGAUUUUGAGCAGACACCAGCGUGAUUAGAAGAGCACAGCAAGGCAUGCUGCGCAUCAGAGAGGUUUUGAAAACCAGUUUCAUGACUGGCCAGGCUAUGGUUUGACUGUUGUGUGUGUUUCUCCUUGAUGCAAACCCACCCACCUUGGUUGAUCUUUAAUUCCCUGUAACCAAACCACCCUUCCUCCCUCCCCCCUUCGAAAUAAAGUAAUUAUUGUUUUGAAACCAUGCAUUAUUUCUUUUAUUAAUUAAAAAAAAAAAGUGAGAUAACUGACAAGGUAGCCCGGGUGGGGUGGGGGAGGAGGGAAGGACAAGGCUACAUUGCCUUUUGUAGCCACACUACAAAUCAAACUGUUUGAAUGGCAACCUUCUGUUGCUUUGGCCAUCCUCUGUAGUGGAGUGGCUGGGUGCCCGGAGCCUCCCUCCAUGCAUUCUUGGGCGUCUGGGUGAGGAGGAUAUGGAACUUGGGGAGGAGGUCAGCCGGUUAUACAAUGGAUGCUGUGGAAGGUCUGUGCUCGUGUUGGCUUUCUUGCAGCUCCACCAGAUGUUUCAUCAUGUCCGUUUGCUUCCCCCAUUAGCCUCAGCAUCGCCUCCUGCCUUUGCUCUUCGCGCUCAAUUAAUGCUUUCCUGGCCUCUAACACUGAAUGCCUCCAUGCAUUAAGCUGCGCUCUAUCAGUGCGGGAGGUCUGCAUGAGCUCAGCAAACAUGUCAUCGCGAGUGCAUGUUUUUCACCUUCUAAUCUGUGAUAACCUCAGGAAGGAGAUGAUAGGGGGAGCAUAGAAACAUAGAAAGGAGUUUGCAUGGGAGUUAGCCUGGGGAGAGCCCACUGAGGCUUACAUCUUGCCGGCUUCUCUGAGUAGUUACUACAACUCCUGAGGAAGCUCGUAGAAGGAAGGCGAUAUGGAUGGGGGGUGUUCAGCUGUUGUGACCUGCACUGGAUGUG